Molecule: ribosomal RNA, 253 nt
Filed under: uncultured bacterium
Lineage: Bacteria
Description: partial 16S ribosomal RNA
Rfam family: Bacterial small subunit ribosomal RNA
Source: RNAcentral
UACGUAGGGGGCCAGCGUUGUCCGGAAUCAUUGGGCGUAAAGAGCGUGUAGGCGGCCCGGUAAGUCCGCUGUGAAAGUCGGGGGCUCAACCCUCGAAUGCCGGUGGAUACUGUCGGGCUAGAGUGCGGAAGAGGCGAGUGGAAUUCCUGGUGUAGCGGUGAAAUGCGCAGAUAUCAGGAGGAACACCGAUUGCGAAGGCAGCUCGCUGGGACGUAACUGACGCUGAGACGCGAAAGCGUGGGGAGCAAACAGG